RNAcentral lists this ribosomal RNA (443 nucleotides) under uncultured bacterium. RNAcentral's name for it is "bacterial SSU rRNA". It matches the Rfam family "Bacterial small subunit ribosomal RNA", at positions 958 to 1398 of the family's 1533-position model. The record is from RNAcentral.
AACGCGAAGAACCUUACCAGGCCUUGACAUGGGUAGUAUGGAUUCCAUAAACGGAAUUCUUCAGUUUGGCUGGCUACCACACAGGUGCUGCAUGGCUGUCGUCAGCUCGUGUCGUGAGAUGUUGGGUUAAGUCCCGCAACGAGCGCAACCCUCAUCCUUAGUUGCCAACAGGUAAUGCUGGGAACUCUAAGGAAACUGCCGGUGAUAAGCCGGAGGAAGGUGGGGAUGACGUCAAGUCUUCAUGGCCCUUACGGCCUGGGCUACACACGUGCUACAAUGGCGGUGACAAUGGGGUGCUAACCCGCAAGGGCAUGCAAAUCCCAAAAAGCCGUCUUAGUUCGGAUUGCACUCUGCAACUCGAGUGCAUGAAGCUGGAAUCGCUAGUAAUCGUAGAUCAGCAUGCUACGGUGAAUACGUUCCCGGGCCUUGUACACACCGGAGUA